GCUUACGACUACACCUGCCUGAGUACGUCUGAUCUCGGAAGCUAAGUAGGGUCGGGCCUGUUUAGUACUUGGAUGGGUGACCGCCUGGGAAUACCAGGUGCUGUAAGCU
Ribosomal RNA from Oncorhynchus kisutch (coho salmon), 109 nucleotides. NCBI's taxonomy places the organism in Eukaryota, Metazoa, Chordata, Actinopteri, Salmoniformes, Salmonidae. The record is from Ensembl.